CCCAAAAGUGGUAUAGGUACCAAAACAGGCAUAUCAAUGAUGCGAAAACAUACUAGUUCCUCAUCGCAAUCUAAUCAAAUCGAAGAAAAUCUUGUUUUAUUAGAUUCUAUUGUACAUACUUCCAUUACAGCUUUACCAUCAUAAUGCUGUAAUUGAUAGCAAAACUACACCAUGGAAGACGGAAAAUUAGUGAUAUUGCUGGGAACUCAAUACCAUAUAAAAAGAUGACAACAUUAGACAAUUCUCCGCAGCUAAACAACACA
Molecule: unclassified non-coding RNA, 263 nt
Filed under: Hevea brasiliensis (rubber tree)
Lineage: Eukaryota; Viridiplantae; Streptophyta; Magnoliopsida; Malpighiales; Euphorbiaceae
Source: RNAcentral